Long non-coding RNA from Schistocerca nitens (vagrant locust), 503 nucleotides. RefSeq lists it as uncharacterized. The transcript has 3 exons. The record is from RefSeq and is a predicted model, not a curated record. NCBI's taxonomy places the organism in Eukaryota, Metazoa, Arthropoda, Insecta, Orthoptera, Acrididae.
GUCAGUAGUCGGUUAGUGUCGGUUCAGCAGAUGAUGCUUGGCGUACUUAAGAUUGCAAAUUCAAAGUGCGCAGGGUGUCACCAGUUUCGGAAACUGAUUAAAAAGAGUACAGCAAUGAUACAGAACUACAAAACUGAUGAAGCUGUGUGUGUUGGUGGCGACCCAUAUUCACCGAAUUCGUCACAGUUACAUCACAACCUUCCAUCUGGUGUGGUCUUACGGUCUUCAAGUACCACGUGAAGAAAGAGGAUGAUGAACUCGAUUCCAUCUACGUCUACUGAAUUGUUGAAAAGGGCACUGGAGCAAAGGUCAAACACAUCAUGCCGGAUACCUGUAAUUGGGCAAUGAAUCGAGCUUCUGGAGUGGAGAUGAUCUGAGAAGUGCAGCCAACGCUGUAAUGGCUAUAAGGAUUUCAAUGGUGAUAAAUGUUUAGGAAGUUCGGAAGUUCUUUCUGAAAUCCUGCUUCUGCAGCUGCUUCUGUCAGCAGGAAAUAUUGACUUAUU